Molecule: small RNA, 26 nt
Filed under: Bombyx mori (domestic silkworm)
Lineage: Eukaryota; Metazoa; Arthropoda; Insecta; Lepidoptera; Bombycidae
Description: ovarian small RNA-12020
Source: RNAcentral
AGCAAUAGUAGCAGCCUCACCAUUGC